UACGUAGGGUGCGAGCGUUAAUCGGAAUUACUGGGCGUAAAGAGUGCGUAGGUGGUUUGCUAAGCGCGAUGUGAAAUCCCUGGGCUUAACCCAGGAAUGGCAUAGUGAACUGGCGAACUAGAGUGCAGCAGAGGGAGGUGGAAUUCCACGUGUAGCAGUGAAAUGCGUAGAGAUGUGGAGGAACACCGAUGGCGAAGGCAGCCUCCUGGGCUGACACUGACACUGAGGCACGAAAGCGUGGGGAGCAAACAGG
This 253-nucleotide ribosomal RNA is filed under the name uncultured bacterium. RNAcentral describes it as "partial 16S ribosomal RNA". It matches the Rfam family "Bacterial small subunit ribosomal RNA", at positions 524 to 776 of the family's 1533-position model. The record is from RNAcentral.